GCGGAGUUAGUCUAGCCUGGUGGGACGUCAGCUUCCCAAGCUGAAGGUCGCGGGUUCAAAUCUCGCACUCCGCA
RNAcentral lists this transfer RNA (74 nucleotides) under Nitrosopumilales archaeon. RNAcentral's name for it is "tRNA-Gly". It matches the Rfam family "tRNA". From Rfam's summary of the family: Transfer RNA (tRNA) molecules are approximately 80 nucleotides in length. Their secondary structure includes four short double-helical elements and three loops (D, anti-codon, and T loops). Further hydrogen bonds mediate the characteristic L-shaped molecular structure. tRNAs have two regions of fundamental functional importance: the anti-codon, which is responsible for specific mRNA codon recognition, and the 3' end, to which the tRNAs corresponding amino acid is attached (by aminoacyl-tRNA synthetases). tRNAs cope with the degeneracy of the genetic code in two manners: having more than one tRNA (with a specific anti-codon) for a particular amino acid; and 'wobble' base-pairing, i.e. permitting non-standard base-pairing at the 3rd anti-codon position. RNAcentral also lists the same sequence under 3 other names. Lineage: Archaea; Thermoproteati; Nitrososphaerota; Nitrososphaeria; Nitrosopumilales. The record is from RNAcentral.